Molecule: ribosomal RNA, 450 nt
Filed under: uncultured bacterium
Lineage: Bacteria
Description: partial 16S ribosomal RNA
Rfam family: Bacterial small subunit ribosomal RNA
Source: RNAcentral
CCUACGGGGGGCUGCAGCUAAGAAUCUUCCGCAAUGGGGGAAACCCUGACGGAGCGACGCCGCGUGGACGAUGGAGGCCGUAAGGUUGUAAAGUCCUUUUCCUGGUGAAGAAUGACCGUGGGAGUGGAAAGCCCAUGGGAUGACGUUAGCCAGGGAAUAAGCCCCGGCCAAUUACGUGCCAGCAGCCGCGGUAAUACGUAUGGGGCAAGCGUUGUUCGGAGUUAUUGGGCGUAAAGGGCGAGUCUGCUGCGAAAAUGCAGGGCCUAACCCUGCAGAUGCGCUGGAAACUGGUGGGCUUGAGUUCCUGAGGGGAAGCUGGAAUUCCAGGUGUAGGGGUGAAAUCUGUAGAUAUCUGGAAGAACACCGGUGGCGAAGGCGAGCUUCUAUCAGAGGACUGACGCUGAGGCGCGAAAGCGUGGGGAGCAAACAGGAUUAGAUACCCCGGUAGUC